This 253-nucleotide ribosomal RNA is filed under the name uncultured bacterium. RNAcentral's name for it is "partial 16S ribosomal RNA". It matches the Rfam family "Bacterial small subunit ribosomal RNA", at positions 524 to 776 of the family's 1533-position model. The record is from RNAcentral.
GACAGAGGGUGCAAACGUUGCUCGGAAUUACUGGGCGUAAAGCGCGUGUAGGCGGAUCGGUAAGUCGGACGUGAAAUCCCCGGGCUCAACCCAGGAACUGCGCUCGAAACUACCGACCUUGAGUGAUGGAGAGGAUAGUGGAAUUCUCGGUGUAGAGGUGAAAUUCGUAGAUAUCGAGAGGAACACCAGUGGCGAAGGCGGCUAUCUGGACAUCAACUGACGCUGAGACGCGAAAGCGUGGGGAGCAAACAGG